Molecule: long non-coding RNA, 628 nt
Organism: Felis catus (domestic cat)
Lineage: Eukaryota; Metazoa; Chordata; Mammalia; Carnivora; Felidae
Exons: 2
Source: RefSeq, a predicted model, not a curated record
AGGAAGUCCUAAGGCUGUGAUGCCCAGCACGGCAACUAUAGGUAACGAUCCUGCGAAGCACAUUUGAAAGUCACUAUGAGAGUAAAUCUUAAAAGUUCUCAUCACAAGAAAAAAACGUUCUGUGACUAUGUGUGGUGACGGACGUUAACCAGACGUGCAACGGUGAUCAUUUCGCACCAGAUGCGAACGGCGCAUCGUCGCGUCGCCCACCUGAAGCUUACAUCACGUGGGAUGUGAAUUAUGCCUCAGUUACACCACAUCAUCUUCCGAACAGGAUGGUAGAAAAGGACUUGCAGGGAGAAUCCUGCCUCUCUGGUAGGAGAAGACGCUCUGUAAAAUCAUCAUGAUAUCGGCAGCAGCGUCGUCAGCAGCAGCCGGCCUUCAGCUCCGUUACUAACGCUGUCAAAAAUGCACAGAUCCCUUUCUCAGCCGCCCUGAAGUCACAUGUGUCCCCAGGAAAAACCACGAGAUUCUCCACAUCACUGACAGAUACCCCAGUACACUGUUCCUAAAAGCUGGAAAUUCGGCAAGUGGCUGCAUAACAGCUCAUUUGGUUGAAAAUCCCUUUGGAGGGAGUCUUAUCCAAGCCAAUUCCCUGUCUAUGUAAAAUCUGGUGCCUCUGAGUUCA